UACGGAGGGGGCCAGCGUUGUUCGGAAUCAUUGGGCGUAAAGGGCGCCUAGGUGGCCAAGCAAGUCGGAUGUGAAAGCCCUCGGCUCAACCGGGGAAUUGCACCCGAAACUGCAUGGCUCGAGUCCUGGAGAGGGUAGCGGAAUUCCCAGUGUAGCGGUGAAAUGCGUAGAUACUGGGAGGAACACCGGUGGCGAAGGCGGCUACCUGGACAGGUACUGACACUGACGCGCGAAAGCGUGGGGAGCAAACAGG
This 253-nucleotide ribosomal RNA is filed under the name uncultured bacterium. RNAcentral describes it as "partial 16S ribosomal RNA". It matches the Rfam family "Bacterial small subunit ribosomal RNA", at positions 524 to 776 of the family's 1533-position model. The record is from RNAcentral.